Long non-coding RNA from Esox lucius (northern pike), 1466 nucleotides. Lineage: Eukaryota; Metazoa; Chordata; Actinopteri; Esociformes; Esocidae. The record is from Ensembl.
AUCACAGUGGUCAACUUCUUGAAAACACUGUCUGAUUAUAUGUGCAAUACUAUAACCAUGAAACCUAUAAGUAUUUAAAGGUUGGAAAUGUUAUACAUUUUUUGAAACGUGCACUCUGAAAUAAAUAAUUCUAGGUAUUUCCAUGCCUAGGUGAAAAUUACUUUUCAACUUGUAGUUGCGCUAAUGCAUUGGAUUCUUUUAAAAUGUUGAAUAUAUUGAAAUCCUGCUGAAUUAUUUUUUACAAAGUAGUCUCCUUAUAUUUAGAGGUUUCCUUGUAUGACCUAUUUUAACUGAUGUUAUUUUUUAUCAUUGAACAUUUACUUUUUUAGUGCGUGCUGUGAAUCAAAUGUAUGGAAGGUAGAUAGAUUCAGGGCGCUUUACUGGACCCAUAUUAAGCCUGUCUAAGACAUCCUUAAGGUAAAUCUCGAGUGGUUAGUGGUCUAGGAAUGGGCCUAAUGUGGGUCAGGUAAGCUUUACAUCCAACUCCAUCCAGGGGAGCAGUAUAUACCUUCUCAUUUUCACACUUUACAUAUCUACCAAAGAUACGGUACCUCUCUGCAGCCACCCCGGUUUUGCAGAUGAGUGCUACAGUUUUGGAGAGAGUUAACUAGUGUAGAGCUGAACAACAGGACAGUGAUCACCACAAGCGUCUAUCUUGUCCUUAGACUGAACUUGUCUGUUGGCAUGGAAUCAGCAAGGUGAGAGCGUGAAUACCAUAGAAUCAAGAGCAUCUUUAUAGAUCGUUAUGGUGGACAUUGGGCCCAAGUCAUCAGAUCUGAUGUAGCCAACAUCUGGGAUAGUGGUUGUUUUGGGUUAGUAAUAAUCACAUGAUGCCUCUACUCCGACAAUAGGCUCAAAUCCUUAUGAUUUCCUUUAUCUGCCCAGUUUUUUUAUAAUUACUAACAAAAUGAGUAGUCAUUUUUCUUCCGACAUUGUUCAAUAAAGUCUGACCUAAACCAAAAAAGCAGCUCUUCUGUGUACGAAUGGUGUGUACUCAAAAAACAGGAUACCGUAGAUGUAUAAUAGUCAUGAACAAAAUAAUGUAAGUUUAUGCUAGUCAUUAACCGAAUAAUGUAGGUGUAUACUAGUCAUAAACAGAAUAGUGUAGGUGUAUAGUAGUCAUAAACAGAAUAGUGUAGGUGUAUAGUAGUCAUUAAUAGAAUAGUGUAGGUGUAUAGUACUCAUAAACAGAAUAGUGUAGGUGUAUAAUAGUCAUAAACAGAAUAGUGUAGGUGUAUAAUAGUCAAACAGAAUAGCGUAGGUGUAUACUAGUCAUAAACAGAAUAGUGUAGGUGUAUAAUAGUCAUAAACAGAAUAGUGUAGAUGUAUACUACUGAUAUCCUAAACAUAAUCAGUACACUCCUGAUUACACGCCAUACUUCCCCAGGCUGCUGAUUGGCCAGUUCAAAACUCCAAAGAAAAAUUAUUUAUUUAUUCCUCCAUUUAAAUCUUUGGGUAUAUACAAG